UGGGGAAUAUUGGACAAUGGGCGCAAGCCUGAUCCAGCCAUGCCGCGUGAGUGACGAAGGCCUUAGGGUUGUAAAGCUCUUUCGGCGGGGAAGAUAAUGACGGUACCCGCAGAAGAAGCCCCGGCUAACUCCGUGCCAGCAGCCGCGGUAAUACGUAGGGACCAAGCGUUGUUCGGAUUUACUGGGCGUAAAGGGCGCGUAGGCGGCAUGACAAGUCACUUGUGAAAUCUCUGGGCUUAACCCAGAACGGCCAAGUGAUACUGUCGCGCUAGAGUGCAGAAGGGGCAAUCGGAAUUCUUGGUGUAGCGGUGAAAUGCGUAGAUAUCAAGAGGAACACCUGAGGUGAAGACGGGUUGCUGGGCUGACACUGACGCUGAGGCGCGAAAGCCAGGGGAGCAAACGGGAUUAGAUACCCCCGUAGUCCCUGAGCGGGCUGGCAAGGCGCAU
This 447-nucleotide ribosomal RNA is filed under the name uncultured bacterium. RNAcentral describes it as "bacterial SSU rRNA". It matches the Rfam family "Bacterial small subunit ribosomal RNA", at positions 355 to 825 of the family's 1533-position model. The record is from RNAcentral.